Xenopus laevis (African clawed frog) is the source of this 454-nucleotide long non-coding RNA. RefSeq lists it as uncharacterized. The record is from RefSeq and is a predicted model, not a curated record. NCBI's taxonomy places the organism in Eukaryota, Metazoa, Chordata, Amphibia, Anura, Pipidae. The transcript has 3 exons.
CCUGCUCUCUCCCUUCUCACGCUGUUAGUCCACACCAGCAGCUCUGUGUAAGAAUCAAAGGAUUUGAGCUGCAUCAUGAAGACCAGACCCAUUGAUUUCUAUUGGCUGGUGGGCAGACUAGAUUGGGACACAAGCAUGCGCAGAAUGUUUAAAAAGGUUGUAACGCAACUCCUGUGUGCCCAAGGAAGCGGGGAGAGUACAGUAAGGAAUUUUGGUGACGUCACCCAGCUAUGAGACUGGGCUUGUGCUGGCAGUGGAUUUGCAUGUGAAAGAAUAUGGAGAGACUGGAUUCACUCUGUGCACAGGUUAAAAUGUCAUUUGUUAAAGGCAUCAAAAAAGUUGUUUAGGCUUGAUGAUGUCACGGCAUGAUGACGUCUGUGUGUGGCCCUGGAUGCCACCAUCUUGAUUAUGAAGCAACAGAGCGCUCCUGACACAAACAUUGAAAAAUAAACAU